Periophthalmus magnuspinnatus is the source of this 680-nucleotide long non-coding RNA. RefSeq lists it as uncharacterized. The transcript has 3 exons. NCBI's taxonomy places the organism in Eukaryota, Metazoa, Chordata, Actinopteri, Gobiiformes, Gobiidae. The record is from RefSeq and is a predicted model, not a curated record.
UAAAAUGCACAGUAUUUUCUGUUAACUUGCACACUGAUGACACAGUGAAAAAAAUAAAAAAAAUAAAUAGAAUUAAUUUUACUUUUUUGAAACUUUGAAACUCGAGAGUGCAUCGCAUUUUGGGACAGUCAAAGCUACAGCUAUGGGAGAAAAGAAUGGUCUACAGAAAAGACAGGAGGAGGUGGAGGAGGUCGCAGAAAUCAUGUUAAAUAAUUUAAACAAGGCAAACGAGAGAGGAGAGAAUCUGUAUGAUGUGGAGGAGAAGGCACAGAACCUAAAACAGAGCGGAAAAGUUUUCAAAAAAACAACAAAAAUCCUGAUGGAGCAGAAGAAGAGGGAAGCAGAAAAUGACAGUCCAUGCAUAAGCAAACACAAAUGUGUACUUGUUGUCAUUGCAGUCAUAGUCCUAAUAAUGCUAGGACUCUGUAUUGGUCUUGCUAUUGGCAGACCAUGGCACAGGGCUUAAAGGGUUCACCCAUCUACCCAAAUGUCGACGGUUUGAUCCCCGUUUGAAUGUGGUUUGUUGUGGCAGCCUCAUUUCGGUCAGUGUGUAGCACAGGGCAGCUGUGGCUAUCUUUUUAUUUUAUGUUCAUUGGGAAUGAUGUACACAUGUGUGUUUUAAAUAUAUUCAGAGAUAAUAUUUCUCAGUUACUUGGAAGAAAAACGUUUUUGAAAAUGUA